UACGGAAGGCAGCAGUGGGGAAUAUUGCACAAUGGGCGCAAGCCUGAUGCAGCCAUGCCGCGUGUAUGAAGAAGGCCUUCGGGUUGUAAAGUACUUUCAGUCGUGAGGAAGGUGUUAAGGUUAAUAACCUUAGCAAUUGACGUUAGCGACAGAAGAAGCACCGGCUAACUCCGUGCCAGCAGCCGCGGUAAUACGGAGGGUGCGAGCGUUAAUCGGAAUUACUGGGCGUAAAGGGCACGCAGGCGGUUAAUUAAGUUGGAUGUGAAAUCCCCGGGCUUAACCUGGGAAUGGCAUUCAAGACUGGUUAGCUAGAGUCUUGUAGAGGGGGUAGAAUUCCAUGUGUAGCGGUGAAAUGCGUAGAGAUGUGGAGGAAUACCGGUGGCGAAGGCGGCCCCUGGACAAAGGCUGACGCUCAUGUGCGAAAGCGUGGGGAGCAAACAGGAUUAGAUAC
RNAcentral lists this ribosomal RNA (451 nucleotides) under uncultured bacterium. RNAcentral's name for it is "bacterial SSU rRNA". It matches the Rfam family "Bacterial small subunit ribosomal RNA", at positions 340 to 785 of the family's 1533-position model. The record is from RNAcentral.